GUAUAAUCCUACUGAAUUUGGAUAAAUAAAUGAGUUAGAUAUUCACAACAUUGUCUGAGAUUUACAGCUUCAGAAAGUUUGGAAACUAUACCACUGCACUGCUCAUUAUUCACUCUUACCCAACAUUCUGUGGGAACCAAGACAAUCCUGAAACAAAACAUAGGUCAAUUACCUCAUUUUCUAAACUACAUACAAUACAAUUCUCCAGCUACUUCGCAGUCUCAUUUGCCAGGCAUUUUUUCUGACAAUCAUCUUAGACAUUAAGUACGAGCCCUCCAUACUCUUGUACCAAUCUCACUUGCUUGAACCUGUGUACAGAGGUGUGUCAUUCUGAUACCUACAAGGAAGCUGCUCUCAUGGUAGGGAUGCGGAAAUACUUCAUAGCAACUCUGUUUUGCCUGUGAUUUAAACUCCUUCUGAGGCUAUUGGAGACUGUAUGGAAACUGUUGAAUCACGGCCUGAACCUCUGAUUGACCACCUGAGGAGAGCGCUGAGUCAGCCACAGGGGCACAGGUGAACGCAAUUUCACCUCAGUGACUGGAUGGGGUGGAGCCUGGCUCCAGCCCUCCUAGACCCCAUUUAAGGGCUGACUCCCAAGAAGGAAAGACAUCUAUCUGGAGAUCAUUUUUCUUGGAGCCCUUCUGCAAGCCCAGGACACAGGCAAGAGAAGAUUGGAUCCUGAGUGGGCACCAGGCACUGCUAUACUUCCAGACCAAACAUACAUCUACAACUACAUCUUGC
This 741-nucleotide long non-coding RNA is filed under the name Gallus gallus (chicken). Lineage: Eukaryota; Metazoa; Chordata; Aves; Galliformes; Phasianidae. The record is from RNAcentral.